This 346-nucleotide small RNA is filed under the name Pongo abelii (Sumatran orangutan). RNAcentral describes it as "processed transcript". The record is from RNAcentral. Lineage: Eukaryota; Metazoa; Chordata; Mammalia; Primates; Hominidae.
CAGAGUGAGGUGGGUAAUGGAUCUGAUCACCCACAGCUGCAGCAGAUUUAUGAUGGAGUCCCUCAGGGCAUGGGGAAGGGACCCUCAGAUCCUAUCAGGGCCUUUGCUCCCACAGGUCAUGUCUUCAACAUGCUCCAUGACAACUCCAAGCCAUGCAUCAGUUUGAAUGGGCCUUUGAGCACCUCUCGCCAUGUCAUGGCCCCUGUGAUGGCUCAUGUGGAUCCUGAGGAGCCCUGGUCCCCCUGCAGUGCCCGCUUCAUCACUGACUUCCUGGACAAUGGCUAUGGGCACUGUCUCUUAGACAAACCAGAGGCUCCAUUGCAUCUGCCUGUGACUUUCCCUGGCA